Molecule: long non-coding RNA, 415 nt
Organism: Cephus cinctus (wheat stem sawfly)
Lineage: Eukaryota; Metazoa; Arthropoda; Insecta; Hymenoptera; Cephidae
Exons: 3
Source: RefSeq, a predicted model, not a curated record
UGCUACCCCAACGUAUUGUAACGCACGUGUCAUGUGCUCCUGAUAUUACUUAAGGAUUUAGAAGACUCAACAAUUCUACAACACCUUGAUUGACACCUACUUAUUCGAUUCAAAUUCACCAUGCUGCCCGGUGGUAAACCUUCAACCUCAAAGGAAUCCGAAGCUGCUGCGAUAUCAGUUAUUAGAUCACGGAGUGAUAUUGAUCCUCUUAUAACAAUAACUAUACUGGAUGUCUUGUGAUCGGCUAUGACACAGAAUGGAACCUGUUGACACGAUAUUACCCAACUCCUAAAUUCUAUUGAAUGAUUUGACCAGAUAUUGAAUCAUGAUAAGGAACUGAUAUCAAUGAUCAUCUGAAAUCAUUGGACGAACCUCACAAAGAUGAUUUCUGAAUGAUGCAUACAGUAUGUCCUCC